ACUACGUGAAUACCACUGUACACUGUCGAAAUCUAUGAGAGUUGCGGAUCUUUAAUGUAUUUUACGGUAAAGUUAGAAGGGCAAACUAAUGGGCGUGCCUUAGUGUGACGUCACAUAAUUGUAUAAAAGCGUGGCUCUCGCGGCGCAAGUUGAAUAGGUCAGCAGUCAUUUCUAACCCUAAUUAUUUGUGUGCAGCCUCUCCGUAGUUUGCUGUUUUGCUGGCUUUCAGUAAACUAGAGGAUGUUGGAUAUCGAGGCCGUUUUUCUUUAAAAAAGUCUAGAUUGUGCUGACCAUUCGCUCAUGCCCUUGGGUGGUAGUGUCUUUCUAUGGCCGUGGUCAGCUUACGCUGCCUCGAAGAGUUCGUCUCUGUGCCGGACACUGCUCCCGGGGAAAUUGCCGAGCAGGACUUGAGCAGAGUAAAAUUGAGCAGUGAGGAAGCUUUUGCGUUUCCCAGAGUCUUGGGAUCCGCGAGCAAUGAUCUGCUCAGACAAAUUACACGAAAAUGGAAGGCAAGAGACGAUGAGGGGGGCUGCGUGGAAAAGAGAACUGCAAAAUCUGUUGUGGCUAUAAAGCGAGCUCAGCCACGAGAAACUGACGUUUUCAUCCUCUCAUGCUGAUGUGUCUUAACUUAAUUUGAAAUAAAGGCCUGUUGAUCACUUCA
Long non-coding RNA from Lepisosteus oculatus (spotted gar), 661 nucleotides. RefSeq lists it as uncharacterized. NCBI's taxonomy places the organism in Eukaryota, Metazoa, Chordata, Actinopteri, Semionotiformes, Lepisosteidae. The record is from RefSeq and is a predicted model, not a curated record.